This 757-nucleotide ribosomal RNA is filed under the name Glomeromycotina sp. OTU3 DJMC-2012. RNAcentral describes it as "eukaryotic LSU rRNA". It matches the Rfam family "Eukaryotic large subunit ribosomal RNA", at positions 49 to 657 of the family's 3401-position model. Lineage: Eukaryota; Fungi; Glomeromycota. The record is from RNAcentral.
AGCGGAGGAAAAGAAAAUAACAAUGAUUCCUCUAGUAACUGCGAGUGAAGAGGGAAANGCUCAAAUUUUAAAUCUGUUAGGUUUACCUAACCGAGUUGUAAUUUGAAGAAGCGUUUUCUGCGAAUUUGGUUAGUCCAAAUCCUUUGGAAUAAGGUAUCAUGGAGGGUGAGAAUCCCGUUCGGUUAACCAAAGCGCUUUACGAUACGCUUUCAAAGAGUCAAGUUGUUUGGGAUUGCAGCUUAAAAUGGGAGGUAAAUUUCUCCUAAGGCUAAAUAUUGGCGAGAGACCGAUAGCGAACAAGUACCGUGAGGGAAAGAUGAAAAGAACUUUGAAAAGAGAGUUAAACAGUACGUGAAAUUGUUGAAAGGGAAACGAUUAAAGUCAGUCGUACCUACGAGUAAUCAACCUACUCGAGUGCGAUUUUGUGGGUAUGUUUGAGCUUAAAAACCUUCAUGCUUACAAAUUGGUGCUCUUUGGGCGUACUUUCUCGUAUGGUAGGUUAACAUCAAUUUCGAUCGUUAUAAAAUGACUGGAGGAAUGUAGCUUCGACCUCGGUUGAAGUGUUAUAGCCUUUGGUAGAUGUAAUGAUUGGGAUUGAGGAUUGCAACGGAUACCCUCUGGGCUAUUCGUCUGAUCUCUGGAAGUUACCUUGGUGUCGAAAGCGUGCUUACGAUAUUAAGGUUGACGGCCAAUAGGUUAGAACGUGAUUAAAUUCGUUAAGGAUGUUGACGUAAUGGCUUUAAACGACCCGUCUUGA